Ficedula albicollis (Collared flycatcher) is the source of this 383-nucleotide long non-coding RNA. RefSeq lists it as uncharacterized. The record is from RefSeq and is a predicted model, not a curated record. The transcript has 3 exons. Lineage: Eukaryota; Metazoa; Chordata; Aves; Passeriformes; Muscicapidae.
GCGGCAGGGUCCGGUCGUGCCGCCGCUGCCGGGAGGUGCCGGGAGCCUGAUCCAGAGUGUGGAUUAUGGCCAAACUGUUUGCUGUGUUUCUGCCUGCAUGUGUGGACUCUGUGGUGUUGGAUCCAGCCUGUCUCUGCUUGGGAUGCUUGGACCCAUCCAGAUCUUUGCACUCAAAGAUUUUGGUCUCUCUUCAACAAGUUCAAACACAAGAACACUGAGUGCCCAGACGUGAUGUCCUGACUCCAGAGCAGGGAGUGAAGGAAUCGGGGACACCGUACCGGUGUGAAAUUCCUCACAGCUCUCCCUUUGGCUGCCUCCUCUCUCGGUUUGGGGUGGGGACAGCAGCAAGACCCUGGGGAAGCUUCGCUGGUCCCAUCUAAAGA